CGCGUUGGACGCAUAGGGGAUCAUUCCUCCUAAUAUGCCUACCACCAUUGUGGAGUUUAUGAUAUUUAUACACAAUUCACUUACAUAUUCAUAUAAUUUCCAAGAACUAAUCAUAUUCAUUACUUUUAUGAGAAAUCGUUAUAAUAUGUUGCUGCCUACAUCAACAUGCACACUACAGUCUCUAGGUGGUCUUCCAGGACCUUUAGUGGUCGUUUAUUUCAUCAUUCUCAUCUUCAUCACAGUGUCCUUUCUGUGAACUUGGUUCUGUCUUCCCCUUUCCCUUACGGCUGAGGCCACAAAACCAGUUGUGUCUGGUAUUUCUGCAAGCUUCAGCAUCCUUUUUCCAUUAUAUUGUUUUUCAUAGAUAGGUGUGUACCUAAAUCAUGUAAACAGACAGGCUCAAGCCUGUUAAUCAUUGAUAAAGUGUAUUGUAUUCCCUCAUUAGGCAGAUUCCUAAGCAGAACUACAAACAAGGUAUUACUACAUUAAGCAGUCCUUUAAACAGGCCCUGCCACUACUGAGAAUUUGUAAUUUUCCAUAUGUCUUCCCUCUUCAAUGUGAGUUACGCAGGAAUUUCUUGCAAACUACUGCCCAUCAGGAGGAUCCGUGUUACUGCUUUAGAACAGGACCAAUUUACCCAUCUGGCCUUGAUAAUAAAAUCUGGCCUUGAUAAUAAAACACUUACCCUUAGCAAGCGUUUUAUUCUAACUUGUAUAUUAAAUCAUCAGUUUUCCUUCCAAAGCACCUUCUGUUCAAUUGUUGGAAUAUUUUUACUUGUCCCACAAUUUUUUUUGUUUUAUUUCUUCCUUUUUUUUUUUUUUUUUUUUUUUUUUUUUCCUAGUUGUCACGGCGAUUGCACACCGGUCAGGCUGCCCUUUGCCGUGGAGCCGUUGCUGCACAACACGCAGCAGGAAGAGCCAGGCCCUCGGGUCUGGGCGGUGUUUGAGGCAGUGAUUUACAACCGCCUCCUGCCCCGGCUCAGGAAGCCGCUGAGGAAACGCGAGAAAAGAAACGAAAGCGCUGCCGCGGCGGCGGCGGCCACACGGUCCCAGCAGGCCCCGGCCUGCCCGCCCCCUCAGGCCUCCUCUGGGCGGGAAACGCGCGCACCGCCCCGAGCUCCUCUAGCGCGGCUUCCUAUUGGCGCUCACCCGGCCCCGCCGGCUGUGCCGCGCGCUGCCAUUGGCUGCUUGCCGCCGGGGGGGUGGGGCGAAGGCUGUUCCGCCUCGGCAUGGCUGGGCCUGCGGCGGGAUGGCGGCGGCGUGAGGGAGUGAGGGGCCCGGGGCAGGGCAGCUGGGGGCUCGGGGUGUGCGGGGAGGAAGCUAGAGAGGCUGAGGGGAGGGUGAUCCCGGCCGAGGUGGGGCAGCUGGGCAUGAGCGGGAUGCAGGGGGCUGAGGGCGGUUGGGUGGACAGGGGUAGAGGAACUGGGGACUGAACAGCUGCAAGGUUCCUGUGGGGCGAGAACGCGAGGAAGGAGGUGGGGAAUAAGGUUCAAAUGGGGGGCGUGAGGGAAGGGCUAGGUCAAAACAAGCCUCAGGACCCUUGGAGAGCCACCGACUCCAGCAAUGUUUAUAGCUGAACAAACACACGAGCUUUGAUUUGUGUGGAGAGACAACGUCUGUACUGGUGGUGCAAAGUACCAGCUCUUCCGUGUUGCUGUGCGACAGAGGUUCUUGGUGACAGCUUUACAUUAAUUUCUCUCUUUCUGUGGAGAAGGAAGCUUCUUUGGAGAAUAUGUACAUAGAAGUAUAGUUAUGGUGAUUUUUCUUUUAAGAGGAGAAGCCAUGUGAUUUCUGGUAAGGAAGCAUGGGAAGCAAUUCGGUUGUUAAUGUACUAAUUUUUUAGGAGUGCCUAGAAUGAGUUGUGAAUGUUCACUAAAUAUUUUUUAAAAGACUUGUAAAGUCAAGUUCUGAUAGUAAUGUAUUGGCUAACUCCAGUGCUGCUGUUAAUGUCAAUGUAAUUGUAUUAGGCAACAGAACAGAGCAUCCUGAUUGCAUAUAGAUGAUACAUGACUGUAUAGAAGUCACACAUUAGUAUGUAAGUCUAAAGUUUGGUUUAAUAAAGUUGGUGUUCCCUGAAAAA
This is a long non-coding RNA of Tyto alba (common barn owl), 2079 nucleotides long. RefSeq lists it as uncharacterized. The transcript is spliced from 3 exons. The record is from RefSeq and is a predicted model, not a curated record. NCBI's taxonomy places the organism in Eukaryota, Metazoa, Chordata, Aves, Strigiformes, Tytonidae.